This is a long non-coding RNA of Rattus norvegicus (Norway rat), 327 nucleotides long. RefSeq lists it as uncharacterized. Lineage: Eukaryota; Metazoa; Chordata; Mammalia; Rodentia; Muridae. The record is from RefSeq and is a predicted model, not a curated record.
AGGCCAACCAACAUCAAGUCACUGGUAUUGUCUAGGCUUCCCCGUAACUAAUAACCACAAGGGUGGUAAUAGUGACUGUCUGCAGCCAGAGCCAGCAACGAACGAACCCUGCAUUCUGAACUGCUGACCAUUCAGAGACACGUGAAAUCUUGCUGUGUCUUACCCCGUCCUAUGCAAGACAAGCAGCCCCUCGGCUCCAGUGCUCAUGCUCUCCGUGAUAUGCUACCGUGAAUCAGUGAGCAGGCAUCUCGAUUACCAGAUCACCUGCCACACUGUCAUCAUGCUUGCAAUAAAGUAACCAGCGUUUUGUUUGAGAGAGGUUUCAAA